ACAAAAACGAUGACAGAAGAGUAGUUACUUUAUCUGGUUCAGAGAGUCGACGGUGGUGUGAGUCGAUACAGUAAGUAAUGAAACACAUCUGUAAGUUAAAUAAUUGAAUCAAGUAGGUUAUUUCGGUGGCGCCGUUAUCGCUGAAGUUAUUGUAACUUCGUGAGCUUAGUAUCGCAAGGUAUUAAGAAGCCAGAGGUGGUACCGCGUUAAAUCGCCCUCUUA
This 222-nucleotide non-coding RNA is filed under the name Companilactobacillus tucceti. RNAcentral's name for it is "Lactobacillus tucceti T-box sequence". It matches the Rfam family "T-box leader". Rfam says of the family: Uncharged tRNA acts as the effector for transcription antitermination of genes in the T-box leader family. T-boxes are found upstream of many aminoacyl-tRNA synthetase genes and some amino acid biosynthetic genes usually in Gram-positive bacteria. The record is from RNAcentral. Lineage: Bacteria; Bacillati; Bacillota; Bacilli; Lactobacillales; Lactobacillaceae.